This 463-nucleotide ribosomal RNA is filed under the name Anaerobacterium sp. enrichment culture. Its description in RNAcentral is "bacterial SSU rRNA". It matches the Rfam family "Bacterial small subunit ribosomal RNA", at positions 218 to 695 of the family's 1533-position model. The record is from RNAcentral. Lineage: Bacteria; Bacillati; Bacillota; Clostridia; Eubacteriales; Oscillospiraceae.
CCUGGAGAGUGACUCGCGUCCUAUCAGCUGGUUGGUGGGGUGACGGCCCACCAAGGCGAUGACGGGUAGCCGACCUGAGAGGGUGGCCGGCCACACUGGAACUGAGAUACGGUCCAGACUCCUACGGGAGGCAGCAGUGGGGAAUAUUGGGCAAUGGGCGCAAGCCUGACCCAGCGACGCCGCGUGGGGGAAGAAGUCUUUCGGGACGUAAACCCAUGUUGUACGGGACGAAGGAAGUGACGGUACCGUACGAGGAAGCCCCGGCAAACUACGUGCCAGCAGCCGCGGUAAUACGUAGGGGGCGAGCGUUGUCCGGAAUCACUGGGCGUAAAGCGCACGUAGGCGGGCUGUUAAGUCGGCCGUGAAAUACACUGGCUCAACCGGUGCAGGUCGGUCGAUACUGGCGGUCCGGAGUAUGGGAGAGGGAACUGGAAUUCCCGGUGUAGCGGUGAAAUGCGUAGAU